RNAcentral lists this transfer RNA (75 nucleotides) under Rhodospirillales bacterium. Its description in RNAcentral is "tRNA-Asp". It matches the Rfam family "tRNA". From Rfam's summary of the family: Transfer RNA (tRNA) molecules are approximately 80 nucleotides in length. Their secondary structure includes four short double-helical elements and three loops (D, anti-codon, and T loops). The record is from RNAcentral. Lineage: Bacteria; Pseudomonadati; Pseudomonadota; Alphaproteobacteria; Rhodospirillales.
GGGCGCGUAGCUCAGCGGGAGAGCACCUCGUUGUCAUCGAGGGGGUCACUGGUGCAAUCCCAGUCGUGCCCACCA